AGCGAACGUUAGCGGCGCGCCUAACACAUGCAAGUGCACGAGAAAGGGAGCAAUCCCCGGUACAGUGGCGCACGGGUGAGUAACACGUAGAUGACCUUCCCUGGAGUGGUGGAUAACCUGCCGAAAGGCGGGCUAAUACAGCAUGGGACCACAUGGUUUUGACCGAGUGGUGAAAGCGGGCCUCUGUUCACAAGCUCGCGCUCUGGGAUGGGUCUGCGUCCCAUCAGCUAGUUGGUGAGGUAAUGGCCCACCAAGGCAUCGACGGGUAGCUGGUCUGAGAGGAUGACCAGCCACACUGGAACUGAGACACGGUCCAGACUCCUACGGGAGGCAGCAGUGGGGAAUCUUGCGCAAUGGGCGAAAGCCUGACGCAGCGACGCCGCGUGGGUGAUGAAGGCC
RNAcentral lists this ribosomal RNA (399 nucleotides) under uncultured bacterium. RNAcentral's name for it is "bacterial SSU rRNA". It matches the Rfam family "Bacterial small subunit ribosomal RNA", at positions 29 to 416 of the family's 1533-position model. The record is from RNAcentral.